Molecule: small RNA, 56 nt
Filed under: Arabidopsis thaliana (thale cress)
Lineage: Eukaryota; Viridiplantae; Streptophyta; Magnoliopsida; Brassicales; Brassicaceae
Description: ATSL103210
Source: RNAcentral
GUCGCGGACGAAGAAGAAGACGAAUGGGAAGACGAAGAAGGAACCGAACCAGCGAC